This 1145-nucleotide long non-coding RNA is filed under the name Amborella trichopoda. RNAcentral's name for it is "long non-coding RNA (ATRI_LNC005409)". Lineage: Eukaryota; Viridiplantae; Streptophyta; Magnoliopsida; Amborellales; Amborellaceae. The record is from RNAcentral.
UUUUUAAAGUCCCCUUAAAUCUCUAUCCCUAUAAACCCUUGAUUUUUAUUUUCUUUUAUUUAUUUUUAAAUUUUUUUGGAUCGCCAAUUUAUAAUGAUCCAUAUCACCAAUCCAAUGAUAAUUGCCCAUAACUUUUCUUUGCUUUACUUUUUUUAUUUAUUUGUAUGUUAACUUUCUUUUUGCUUUAUUAUCUUCACUUUAUUUCAUAAAUAGAGUAUAGGCAGCUUUUUCAUUCCAUGACUUGGGAUUUCUUUCUUUCUUUCUUUCUUUCUUUAUCCCUUCUUUCUUUUUUCUUUUUUUUUAAAAGGUGAAGUAGGGUUAAUGGUAAACUUGAAAUUAAUUACGUGGGUGGGGUGCUUUAUUUAGAUGGAGACAAAAUUUAAUGUGCCUCCAUGGCUGAUGUCACCCAAUAAUGGCCAACUAAGAACAUCUCAUCCUUCCAAAUAAAUUAUCCAAAUAUACCUUAACAAAAGUAUUUUAAAAUAUUUAGAACAAUAAUACCCAUAAUGAAGAUUUAUAGAAUAUUGGUAGCUAAACGCCCUUAGUUUAUUGCUUUGAAACCCUAAAAUAAGCCCAUUUAAAACUCCAUAAAUUCCAAUACGCCAAAGCUUCAAAAUAAUCUCUUAUGAAAAAAACUUUGAAAUAAAUUUUAAAGAAAUUUAUCAAAAGUAUGCUUAAGCAAUAUCUCACCCAAUUUUGGAUUUAUCGUCAAAAUACCUAUCAAAUGUAAACAGUUGAAAGAAGCAAAAUGAUAAAUAGUUGAUAACUUAGACAUAUUUCGAUAAAUUAACUUAGACAUAGUUCGAUAAAUUUUUAUGACUUUUAAAGUCACAUAUGACUUAAGAAAUUUCUAGAAUAAUUAGAAUAAGGCUCGGAUGAUGAUUAAUUCUAUGAGAAAGUAUACCAUAGCCCUGUGGACCAUGUCAUUAUAUUGUCCAUGACAGUUGAAUAAAGGGAGUGAGAUCCACUUUUAAGUCAUGUCUGGAGUUCCACUUUCUUGACACCGUCGAUUGCUUCAUCGAUCGGUGAUGCCACAAAUGGACAACAUAUUUACAUAAUCCAUUGGACUAUGGAAUGAACAUAAUACUAAAAAUUGGAAUUUUUACUUUGAAAUAUUGAUACCUUGUAAUUUCCAAGUUUACAUG